RNAcentral lists this ribosomal RNA (254 nucleotides) under uncultured bacterium. Its description in RNAcentral is "partial 16S ribosomal RNA". It matches the Rfam family "Bacterial small subunit ribosomal RNA", at positions 524 to 776 of the family's 1533-position model. The record is from RNAcentral.
UACAGAGGCCUCGAGCGUUAGGCGGAAUCACUGGGCUUAAAGCGUGUGUAGGCGGACUUCUAAGUACCUUGUGAAAUCCCACGGCUCAACCGUGGAACUGCUGGGCAUACUGGACAUCUCGAGGCACUCAGGGGCGAGCGGAACAAGUGGUGGAGCGGUGAAAUGCGUAGAUAUCACUUGGAACGCCAAUGGUGAAGACAGCUCGCUGGGGGUGUCCUGACGCUGAGGCGGCGAAAGCCAGGGGAGCGAACGGG